RNAcentral lists this long non-coding RNA (249 nucleotides) under Hordeum vulgare. RNAcentral's name for it is "long non-coding RNA (HVUL_LNC021538)". Lineage: Eukaryota; Viridiplantae; Streptophyta; Magnoliopsida; Poales; Poaceae. The record is from RNAcentral.
CGGGUAGGAGAAGAGCGGCGCAAGGGGCCGGGGGUCCUCGUCGGAGGCCCCGGCCGACACGGCCUUGAGGGAGAAGCCCCAGAUGAAGCGCUCGUAGGAGCCGGCGACGAGGGCCAUCGGAGAGGGAGCGAGAGAGCCUACGCGCCGCCGCCGCCGCCGCCGCCGGAAGGGUUGGGGGAGGAAAGGGGAGAAGGGUUUGGGGGUUUGGUCGUUUCGCCGUGCUUUGUGGACCAGGGGAUGGCGCGUGUG